CCGCACCCCGCACCUGCGAGUCGCCCCCGGACUGUCGGACCUGGAGGACGGCCUGGAGGAUGGCCUGGCCUCUAUUUCCCCCCGAGAUGGCAGCGUGCCCUGCACACAGUGGGUGCUCAAUAAAUUAGAAAAAAAUAGUCUUAUUGGCGGGCGCCUGGGUGGCUCAGUGGCUCAACCAAUCCUUGAUUUCCGCUUGGGCCGCGGCCUCCCGGUGGGGGUGACGCGUGGCCUGGGGCUCCGCGCUGGGGGGGCCGCUCCAGAUUCUCUCUCUCUCUCCCUCUACCCCCUCCCAUUCUCUCUCAAAUAAAUAAAACCUUAAAAAAAAAAACAAAAACCCGGCCUUAUUGUGAGAUAACUCACUGACCACACCAUCCACCUAAGUAGAGUGUACGGUUCUGGGGUUUCUAGGAUCCUUACAGAGUCGCGCCAACAUCACGACCGAAGGACAUUUUCAUCACCCCAAAAUGCAACUCUCUGGCUCUGCCUGUACUGCCCCCCCACCAUCCCCUCAGCCCUGAGCAACCCUUAGUGACUUUCUCCAUAGAUUUCCCUAUUCUGGGCUUUCUUGUGGUUGGAAUCAUAUAAUAUGUGGACUUUGGUGACUGGCUUCUUCCACCUAGCUCGGUGUUUUCGAGGUUCAGAGCAACACUUUUUUGCUGUGUGAAUGAAUGAGGCUACGGAAGCAAGGGGAGGGCGCUCUCCUGGCGCGCUGGCGGCCAGCUGGAGGAAGGACACCCCGGGUGGACAUCCACAUCUCAUGGCGGGGCUGUGGCCUGGCUGCCCUGGGGACGCGGGACUGUCUUCAGCUCAAGGCCAACCUUUACUUUGGGGUUUUUCCAUUGAUUGAUUCGCUCAUUCCACAGAAAUGCACAGUGAUGACCUACCAAGCUUUCUCUCAUAAAUGAACACACUACUUUUAAAAAGUCAGUUAAAGUGGACAGAAGCUUGCUUUCCAGAAGGUCAGUCCUGCAGAGGCCUCGGCCUCCCGAUGUGCGCCUGACCUUCCUGCUUGGGGUGGCUCACAGGCAGCUCUGAGGCGGCCUCUCAAUGUCCACAUCGAAGCAAAAGCCCUUUUACUGCCGUGUGAGGCUGUUCCAAGUCCUGCACACCUGCUGCUCUCCACCUCCUGCCAUGCUGCCACUUCCCCUGCUCUGGGUUUACAGAAAUUCUGGACUGUGCUGUCCGCGUGAGGGCCACGGGCCAAACACGGCUGCUGCUGAGCGCUUGAGCUGGGACCGGUCCCACCUGAGAUGUGCUGGACAUGCCAAGUACAGAAGACUUUGUGCAGAAAACAAAGAGUGUGAAAUAUCUCAAUAAUUUUUAUAUUGACGUGUUGAAAUGAUAUUUGGGAUUUGCCUAGUUUGGAUAUUUCCUAAAAAUGGAAUCAAACAAUAUGUGGCCUUUUGUGUCUGGUUUACUCGGCAUAACAUUUUCAAGAUUCAUCCAUGUUGCAGUGUGUAUCCACACUUCAUUCCUUCUUACAGAUGGGGAGCUGAAGCCAGAAGAUACAUUCACCUGGAACAUGUGACUGUGAACUUAUUUGUAUAAAGAUCUUUGCAGAUGUGGUCACACUGAGGAGCUGUCCGUGAGGUCAUCCUGGGUCAUCAUCCAGGUGGGCCUUAAAUCC
Molecule: long non-coding RNA, 1627 nt
Organism: Canis lupus familiaris (dog)
Lineage: Eukaryota; Metazoa; Chordata; Mammalia; Carnivora; Canidae
Exons: 3
Source: RefSeq, a predicted model, not a curated record